Molecule: unclassified non-coding RNA, 199 nt
Filed under: uncultured Ascomycota
Lineage: Eukaryota; Fungi; Ascomycota
Description: sequence contains ITS1
Source: RNAcentral
CUGAGUUAGGGUCUUCCAUGGCCCGACCUCCCAACCCACUGUCUAAUUAUACCAAUUGUUGCUUCGGCGGGACGGUCUUCCCAGAUCGCCGGAGGGUGCAACCGCCCCUCUGGAGAGUGCCCGCCGACGGCCCAAUCUCAAAAACUCUUGAACUCAACCGUGAUGCCUAAAUCGACCUUUUGUAUAAUUACAAAAAACA